AACCGUGAUGUCCCCCUAGUUAUAGGAAAAGUAUACACAUACAACAAUCCUAACUACAGGAAUAUCCAAUUGGGAUAUAUUAAUAAAAAACGUAAAACUCGUCGGAAUAAGGCUGGACUAAAAAAUACUUCUGCUCAGAUUGCGGCCGAUGUGCGGGAUCCUGCCGGCUUAGUUAAAUAUAUCACUAUUGGAAUUGAUCCGGCAUAUUGAACCGAUUUAUUGUUUUUAAAAUUUAAAUAUGCUUAACAAAUGCUGCCCCAGAAGGAAUGAGAUCGCCAAAGCGAACG
This is a long non-coding RNA of Scaptodrosophila lebanonensis, 287 nucleotides long. RefSeq lists it as uncharacterized. NCBI's taxonomy places the organism in Eukaryota, Metazoa, Arthropoda, Insecta, Diptera, Drosophilidae. The transcript has 2 exons. The record is from RefSeq and is a predicted model, not a curated record.